CACCUUUAGAGCUCCUGCCCUUAUGGGAUAACUGAAUCAUCCAUAAAUAGUCUUUAAAGGCAGCAUUGUCUGCCUGAAAAAACCCAAAAAAAAGCUCAAGGAAAAUGAAGUAGGGGUUUUGUGUGUGGGUAAAGUAAAUACGGUUGGAAAUACAUGACUUGUUAAAAGCUUUUUGAGGACCCCACACUCACGAAAUCUUUUAGGUCAUGUGUUUGCUUUCUGAAACAUUUGCUUUCCUAGGACUGCAAGCAGCGCAGCGCAAGAUACAGAUUUCCCCAUCUCUACAAGGCCUUUUUAUUUGGUCUAGAUACACAUCUUCAAUCCUUGUUUUGAGGAUCAAAUCUGUAUUUCCUGCGUGCUUGAGGAAAGUCUGUCAGCGUGAUGAGGCAUCAGCAUCACUCAGCAGGACCUGUUGA
RNAcentral lists this long non-coding RNA (416 nucleotides) under Cyanistes caeruleus (blue tit). RNAcentral describes it as "lncRNA (ENSCCEG00000013645.1)". Lineage: Eukaryota; Metazoa; Chordata; Aves; Passeriformes; Paridae. The record is from RNAcentral.